CCUACGGGUGGCAGCAGUGGGGAAUAUUGGUCGAUGGACGAGAGUCUGAACCAGCCAAGUAGCGUGAAGGAUGACUGCCCUAUGGGUUGUAAACUUCUUUUAUAUGGGAAUAAAACGUUCCACGUGUGGGCUUUUGUAUGUACCAUAUGAAUAAGGAUCGGCUAACUCCGUGCCAGCAGCGGCGGUAAGACGGAGGAUCCGAGCGUUAUCCGGAUUUAUUGGGUUUAAAGGGAGCGUAGGUGGAUGGUUAAGUCAGUUGUGAAAGUUUGCGGCUCAACCGUAAAAUUGCAGUUGAAACUGGCAGUCUUGAGUACAGUAGAGGUGGGCGGAAUUCGUGGUGUAGCGGUGAAAUGCUUAGAUAUCACGAAGAACUCCGAUUGCGAAGGCAGCUCACUGGACUGCAACUGACACUGAGGCUCGAAAGUGUGGGUAUCAAACAGGAUUAGAUACCCCAGUAGUC
RNAcentral lists this ribosomal RNA (460 nucleotides) under uncultured bacterium. RNAcentral describes it as "partial 16S ribosomal RNA". It matches the Rfam family "Bacterial small subunit ribosomal RNA", at positions 338 to 795 of the family's 1533-position model. The record is from RNAcentral.